AUGUCGUACGACAGCUCCCUCAGUUCAUCUGCCCAGAUCUUGACCUGCCGAUUAAGGCUGUCCCUUGGCACCUCCGCCACCUCUGUAAGGGCAGUGUGCAUGCUCUCCAUCUCUUUCUUAAGGGACUCAACGUCUUCCUUGACGCCCUUCUGUAGCUUGUACUCACCCGCGACCAGCUCGACCAGCUUGGGAAGUAGUCUUCCCAUGACACCGGUUACCACCUCCAUCACCAUGGUUGGCUCUCAAAUCUCAAUGUAUGGAUCCUCUAGGAAGAAAACCUGGUUGGAAGUUACAAGACAGGAAUCCGAUGUAGGAAAACCAAAAGAAACUGUUCUCUCCACCGGCCACCACCUUUAA
RNAcentral lists this ribosomal RNA (357 nucleotides) under Triticum aestivum (bread wheat). RNAcentral's name for it is "partial small subunit ribosomal RNA". Lineage: Eukaryota; Viridiplantae; Streptophyta; Magnoliopsida; Poales; Poaceae. The record is from RNAcentral.